AUCACUUUUUGGCCUUUUGGCUAAGAUGAAGUGU
RNAcentral lists this small nuclear RNA (34 nucleotides) under Cervus elaphus hippelaphus. Lineage: Eukaryota; Metazoa; Chordata; Mammalia; Artiodactyla; Cervidae. The record is from RNAcentral.